UGUCCGUGAUCUAUCCCUACAUACAUAAUGUAAUUAAAUUUAUUUAUACAAUAAAUAUCAAUUGUUAAAAUAAUUAUUAUCGAAUAUUUUUAUGAUGUAUUUGAUUAAAUUUAGUAGUACAAAUACCUAGAUUAUUUUAAAGAAUGAAACAACAAUAAACAAUAUUAACAUUAAUGUGUCAGAACAUAAGCCCGAUGUUAUGGCAGC
This 207-nucleotide long non-coding RNA is filed under the name Elaeis guineensis (African oil palm). RNAcentral describes it as "long non-coding RNA (EGUI_LNC047274)". Lineage: Eukaryota; Viridiplantae; Streptophyta; Magnoliopsida; Arecales; Arecaceae. The record is from RNAcentral.